CUCGGAGUUUGAUCCUGGCUCAGAUUGAACGCUGGCGGUAUGCCUUACACAUGCAAGUCGAACGGUAGGGGGAGCAAUCCCCUGAGAGUGGCGAACGGGUGAGUAAUACAUCGGAACGUGCCCAGCCGUGGGGGAUAACGUAGCGAAAGCUACGCUAAUACCGCAUACGACCUGAGGGUGAAAGCGGGGGACCGUAAGGCCUCGCGCGAUUGGAGCGGCCGAUGGCAGAUUAGGUAGUUGGUGGGGUAAAGGCCUACCAAGCCAACGAUCUGUAGCUGGUCUGAGAGGACGACCAGCCACACUGGGACUGAGACACGGUCCAGACUCCUAUGGGAGCAGCAGUGGGGAAUUUGGACAAUGGACGAAGUCUGAUCCAGCCAUUCCCGCGUGCAGGAUGAAGGCCCU
This 405-nucleotide ribosomal RNA is filed under the name uncultured Sphaerotilus sp. RNAcentral describes it as "bacterial SSU rRNA". It matches the Rfam family "Bacterial small subunit ribosomal RNA", at positions 1 to 418 of the family's 1533-position model. Lineage: Bacteria; Pseudomonadati; Pseudomonadota; Betaproteobacteria; Burkholderiales; Sphaerotilaceae. The record is from RNAcentral.